Long non-coding RNA from Monodelphis domestica (gray short-tailed opossum), 386 nucleotides. RefSeq lists it as uncharacterized. The record is from RefSeq and is a predicted model, not a curated record. NCBI's taxonomy places the organism in Eukaryota, Metazoa, Chordata, Mammalia, Didelphimorphia, Didelphidae.
GAAAGACUGGAUCUUGGGCCCCUCCCCCUACACUACUUCCUGUUCUCUUUCAACUGUCUUGAAAUUGUUCUUCUCAGAAAUGAAUACAUCAUGUAAAAUGCCAGAUUGCAUAAAUCAAACGCUGAGAUUGACUGCCAAGAGAAAUGCCAACAAGUUCAAAUAUGAAGAUGAUACCACUGAUGGCAGAAGAAGAAUUAAGAAGGCUCUUGAUGAGGAUUACAAAAGGGGAAAGCUAGCUUGAAGCUUAACAUGAAAGAACUAAGAUCUUGGCAACUGGUCCCAUCACUUCCUGGCAAACAGAAGGAGAAGAAAUGGAAGCAGUGUUGGAUCACUGCAAAUAGUGACUGUAGUCAUGAAAUUAAAAGAUUCUUGCUCUUUGGGGUUUU